CUGGCGGCGUGCCUAACACAUGCAAGUCGAGCGAAGGAUAUAUGAGGAAAUCUUCGGAUGGAAUCAUAUAAACUUAGCGGCGGACGGGUGAGUAACGCGUGAGGAACCUGCCUUGCACAAGGGGAUAGCCUCGGGAAACCGGGAUUAAUACCCUAUGAUACUUAAAAUUCGCAUGAAUUUUAAGUCAAAGCGAUUUAGCGGUGCAAGAUGGCCUCGCGUCCCAUUAGCUAGUUGGUAAGGUAAAAGCUUACCAAGGCUACGAUGGGUAGCCGGCCUGAGAGGGUGACCGGCCACACUGGAACUGAGACACGGUCCAGACUCCUACGGGAGGCAGCAGUGGGGAAUAUUGCACAAUGGAGGAAACUCUGAUGCAGCGACGCCGCGUGAGCGAUGAAGGUUUUCGGAUCGUAAAGCUCUGUCCUAAGGGAAGAUAAUGACGGUACCUUAGGAGGAAGCCCCGGCUAACUACGUGCCAGCAGCCGCGGUAAUACGUAGGGGGCGAGCGUUGUCCGGAAUUAUUGGGCGUAAAGGGUGCGUAGGCGGCCUUGUAAGUCAGAUGUGAAAGAUCACGGCUUAACUGUGGUAAGCAUUUGAAACUGCAGGGCUUGAGUACAGGAGAGGAGAGUGGAAUUCCUAGUGUAGCGGUGAAAUGCGUAGAUAUUGGGAAGAACACCAGUGGCGAAGGCGCCUUUCUGGACUGUGUCUGACGCUGAGAUGCGAAAGCCAGGGUAGCAAACGGGAUUAGAUACCCCGGUAGUCCUGGCCGUAAACGAUG
This 775-nucleotide ribosomal RNA is filed under the name uncultured bacterium. RNAcentral's name for it is "bacterial SSU rRNA". It matches the Rfam family "Bacterial small subunit ribosomal RNA", at positions 36 to 811 of the family's 1533-position model. The record is from RNAcentral.